Lethenteron reissneri (Far Eastern brook lamprey) is the source of this 1209-nucleotide long non-coding RNA. RefSeq lists it as uncharacterized. The record is from RefSeq and is a predicted model, not a curated record. Lineage: Eukaryota; Metazoa; Chordata; Hyperoartia; Petromyzontiformes; Petromyzontidae.
CGGCACAGAGGCCGCGUGGGACGGCGUGCGUCGACUGUGCUCCAUUCCCGGGCAAUGUCCGUGCGCAAUGCAAUUGGGGGGACUGUGUGAUGUUGUCUUGGUGUGGUCCGGGAAUGUUUUUGUUGUUGUUUUGCUACCUCGCCCCAGCACGAAUGUAUGUACUUAUGCAAUGUUACCUUUAUAUUUAUUCAUGUUUAGUGACUUGCUUACCUUUGAUCUAGUUUGCACUCCUGUGAUUGUUUUUGUAUUGUUUGUUGUUGUAACUUGCUGACCCGCGACUUCUGGACAUCUAUCAACAGGAGCUUUAUAGCUCAUCGGAAUCCUCAAGUCUCGAUAAAGAGACUGAGUCUGUACAUUAAACAACAGCAGCCAGUGGGAAUCGGACCUUUGGUGUACCGUGGUACAAAUGCAUCGAGAGUCCCUCUCGCGCUCCCGUCGAGUGGAGGUCUCUUCGGACAGCGGCGGCGUGAGCGGCAAUUGCAGGGCUGAGCCCUGACCUUUCUACACAGCGUGUGUUGGUGGUUGCCUCUCGGUUCCCGUGGCGUCUGCCCCCGUCGGGGACUCGUGAGAGGAGCUGGAGGAGUGGACGUCCAUGGACACGGGACAUCCGACGCAAACACACGUUUAUAUUUUAAGACAAUUACGUUCCGAACAAUGACCUUGAAAACAAUUUAUUGUACCAGUAAGUUUCAGAAACAUACAUUUCUACAGGGUGGUCCAAAAGUCAGGACAUGUAUGAUAAUUUAUUUUAACACUGGCAUUAGAAAAUGUAAUUAUUUAUAAUGGAAGCUAAUGUUUAAUUUAUUAUCAUGAUGAAUAUUGAUUUUUUCUUCUCCUAUGGGGUCACCUCCAGUCUGUCGUUUACACAACUCGACCAAGAACCCGGAGUGAAUUGAAACGAAACAAAAUUGGUGGAUAUUCAAACAUUACACCUGCGAUCUUAUAAUAAGUUCUACAUUAAUUAUAAAAACGAAUCCAUGCGUCCAUGAAUAUUAAUGAAAGUCAAUUUGAACAUUUGUUAAAAUUAAAAAAGAGAACAUGUCAUUUGUUAAGUUAAAUAUAAGAGCCCGAUACGUGUUGACUUUUUGGCCACCCCAUGUAGUGCACAUACGGUGAUUUUUGCAUUCAUGUUUUGUUGUAACGAAUGUAAUUUGAAAAUCCGAAACUGUCAAAUUUUGCUCCAAUUAAAUAUUACUUUUAUUUCUCUGA